ACAGCAGAAGAGUUACAAAAAGAGACAACUGCGGGAGAAACUCGCGAAGAGAAUCCGUCGCUGAAGAAAAUCUUCAUCUCCAAUCUGAGCAGCGACUAGGCCAAAGAAAAGGACUCACUCUGAAGACUUUUCCAAACAGCACUUUGAACAGGUUUCCCCAUCUCCUCCCAUACCAUGGGCCAGAGGAGCAUGACCACCUGGGUGAGGAGUUUCUGAAUUAUCAGACCAUGCCAACCACCUCCCUUCAGGACGAAACUGAGAUGGAAAGCUUCUGGGCUGGAAUGGCAACACGGAAACAUAAAGU
Clupea harengus (Atlantic herring) is the source of this 304-nucleotide long non-coding RNA. The record is from Ensembl. Lineage: Eukaryota; Metazoa; Chordata; Actinopteri; Clupeiformes; Clupeidae.